Molecule: long non-coding RNA, 193 nt
Organism: Dermochelys coriacea (leatherback sea turtle)
Lineage: Eukaryota; Metazoa; Chordata; Testudines; Dermochelyidae
Exons: 3
Source: RefSeq, a predicted model, not a curated record
UACAAAUGUUCCUGAACACAUGGCAUGUGGCGAUUGGGAGAGCAUGGUGCUGUUGGGCCAGAUUCAGGCUGUGGAACGCUGAUUCUGUGCCCAGGAAACAAGCACAGACUGGUGGGACUGCAUAGUGUUGCAGGUAUGGGAUGAUUCCCAGUGGCUGCAAAACUUUCGUAUGCGUAGGAUCACUUACAUGGAA